GUCUGCUGGUCUGGAUCGGUGCGCUGCACUCAAGGUCUGGAGGUCCCUCGGCUCCGUCGGCGGCGGUGGCCGGCCACUGAGGGGAGGUCAGGGGACGAGCCGACGAGGGGAGGGGACUGAAGCCGCGAGGGUAGGUCAGGGGACGUCCGACGUCGGGACGAGCGGACGAGCCGACGCGAGGAGCGGACCGAGCGGACGAGACGAAGAGGUCGGCCCGCGCCCCGCGGCGGCGCGGCCGAGACGAGGACGCGACGAGGUGGGAGGUCAGGACGGCCGGAGAGGGCGGAGGGCCAGAGGGGGCCCGUUGACGACGGGGCUGACGUCGGCUCUUAAUUUUCUACUUCUAUAAAAUAAGUAGCCACCGGCGUUACCUUCACAGAUUUAAAAACCACGUUAACUCGGUAUAAACUCUAUAAGAAAACUCCAUCGAUAUCGGACUACCUGCAAUUCAAAAAGAGAGCGCUGCUUAAAAAAAAAAACCCGGGCCCCGAACGAGGUUAGGACCGAGGCGGUGACCAGGGUCGAUACAGGCUGGAAAGAGUAAGGGAAGUGAGAGUAGUCGAGGAGGAGAGCCAAACUAAUCGGAGGGGUAGACAGGUGUGACGGUCAGGGACCAAAGAUGUCCAAACACUCUGAAGUUCCAAAUGUUCGAUCACACCGAAAUCAACUCCACUCGCGGAUGUGGGCACCUAGACUAGUGUGAUAAAAAAAAAAACAGAAUCUAAAACAGACUACACGUAGAGGAUAAAGAGAAAACCGAAGAAGAACGGAAACGAUGUAGAAACCUUAAAACAAACCCAUAAAACCAACCUACGACUCGUAAACAAGGAACCUAAAAUCGACAGGUGAAAGAAAUAGAAGGGGAAGAAAUUAAAAAAGCGAAGGAAGGAGUGGUCACUCACCUCUGUCCAGUCCUUAGUGGAGGGAUAAGUCGAUCCGAUGUGGUAGAACUCUAAGUUGGACUUGGUACAAGGAACUUUUCUGUUCUCAUUUGCCCUUUUGAAUGAAACCCAAGUAUACUACGUCUGGUUCUUAUUUGCCACGUCUAAACCGAUCGUCGUUUUCUACUUACUUAUAUCACUACCUUUCGGUUUAAAUUUCACCAUGACUAGAACCACAGCUAAGGAUGGACUCGGUAGUCUGUGUUGAAGCCAACCAGUAUCCAAAGAACCGAGAAAUCCGACUCCAAAAGAAAGAACCCGUUGACUCCGUCUUCUUGGACCAUUUAACCAACUCGUCACGAUACUCCUACUUGUGUCCUACGACCACAUGUUCAAGUACUCGUAACCCUCGGGAUUCUGUGUGGAGAAGUUUUCAUAUUUAACGAGGGAAGGCACCUACUGUUCCUAUUUUUAGCUGUUCCUACUUCUAACGAUAACCGCGCCGAUUCCCUGAAAGAACUACGAUAGAGCGGUCACUAGAUGUUCCGGAUGUUGCAGAACGAGCUGAGCGCGCCCGAUAUUGCAGUCAGACUCGGAGGUGCUCGAGCUACGGGAGUCCCUGGUCGUGAGAUGUGCGAACGGCUACGUCACCAGCAAAUCCAACUGAGCUGCUGAUCCAUCGUCGUCCUCGCCUACACUUUUUCGCCACCAGUAGCUCCAGUUGAACUGGACGAUUCCCGGGCAAGCCUAGCAGAGGUCGAAGAUCGAAGCAGUAGAGGCGCGUACCUCGUCCGGGCUUGCGGCGUUGAGGAUCUUCGACCGAAGCACCUCGUCGCAACGGAGCGUCACGUUUUUGUUCUUCGUCGAGCUUGGGCCGAGGGUUUUUAGCCUCCUCUGCCUCAACCCGUAAUAAUGGGCUAUACGGUGGCGGUUCACUGGAGGCUCGUUACAUGGCCAAGUGAGCUAGACAAGAAAGAGAGGGGCUAUGCAGGAGAGCGUCGCGGGAACGUAUUGACCCGGUAGUUGUCGAACGGGACCAUGGUCGACUUUCCCGGGUUAGCUGGAAAGACCCAACCGUUGAGUACGACUGGUUCGACCUCGACGGAGCGCGCCGGCUUGCUAGCGAUCGAGGAGCGCCUUCGAUCGACGCGACCGAGGGCAUUCUUCGACCGGAUUUGUCUUCGGUCGCUCGAAGGCUUGUGCGGGAAUCACACGUAAACGAAAACUUCGUGAAGAGAAGAAGCAUUAGUCAGUUAAUCCGAUGUUUUGACGAUGAAGAGACAAGUAUAUGCGAAUAGUUAUACAUACUACGAGAGUGUAUUACAUAAAACACUUACACGUGACGGUCAUAACGUAAAGAUGACGAC
Molecule: ribosomal RNA, 2248 nt
Filed under: Triticum aestivum (bread wheat)
Lineage: Eukaryota; Viridiplantae; Streptophyta; Magnoliopsida; Poales; Poaceae
Description: partial small subunit ribosomal RNA
Source: RNAcentral